Molecule: unclassified non-coding RNA, 357 nt
Filed under: soil metagenome
Description: partial contains 5.8S ribosomal RNA, internal transcribed spacer 2, and large subunit ribosomal RNA
Rfam family: 5.8S ribosomal RNA (bases 1-120)
Source: RNAcentral
GAUGAAGAACGUAGCGAAAUGCGAUAAGUAAUGUGAAUUGCAGAAUUCAGUGAAUCAUCGAAUCUUUGAACGCACAUUGCGCCCGCCAGUAUUCUGGCGGGCAUGCCUGUCCGAGCGUCAUUUCAACCCUCGAACCCCUCCGGGGGUCGGCGUUGGGGACCUCGGGAGCCCCUAAGACGGGAUCCCGGCCCCGAAAUACAGUGGCGGUCUCGCCGCAGCCUCUCCUGCGCAGUAGUUUGCACAACUCGCACCGGGAGCGCGGCGCGUCCACGUCCGUAAAACACCCAACUUCUGAAAUGUUGACCUCGGAUCAGGUAGGAAUACCCGCUGAACUUAAGCAUAUCAAUAAGCGGAGGA